This 435-nucleotide ribosomal RNA is filed under the name uncultured bacterium. RNAcentral's name for it is "partial 16S ribosomal RNA". It matches the Rfam family "Bacterial small subunit ribosomal RNA", at positions 29 to 507 of the family's 1533-position model. The record is from RNAcentral.
AGCGAACGCUGGCGGCAGGCUUAACACAUGCAAGUCGAGCGGGCACUUUCGGGUGUCAGCGGCGGACGGGUGAGUAACGCGUGGGAACGUGCCCUCUGGUUCGGAAUAACUCAGGGAAACUUGAGCUAAUACCGGAUACACCCUUUUGGGGAAAGGCUUGCUGCCGGAGGAUCGGCCCGCGUCUGAUUAGCUAGUUGGUGAGGUAACGGCUCACCAAGGCGACGAUCAGUAGCUGGUCUGAGAGGAUGAUCAGCCACACUGGGACUGAGACACGGCCCAGACUCCUACGGGAGGCAGCAGUGGGGAAUAUUGGACAAUGGGCGCAAGCCUGAUCCAGCCAUGCCGCGUGAGUGAUGAAGGCCUUAGGGUUGUAAAGCUCUUUUAUCCGGGACGAUAAUGACGGUACCGGAGGAAUAAGCCCCGGCUAACUUCGUG